This 452-nucleotide ribosomal RNA is filed under the name uncultured bacterium. RNAcentral's name for it is "bacterial SSU rRNA". It matches the Rfam family "Bacterial small subunit ribosomal RNA", at positions 29 to 513 of the family's 1533-position model. The record is from RNAcentral.
AACGAACGCUGGCGGCAUGCCUAACACAUGCAAGUCGAACGGGAUCCUAGCUUGCUAGGUGAGAGUGGCGGACGGGUGAGUAACACGUGGGAAUCUGCCUUUUGGUUCGGGAUAACCGCGGGAAACUGCGGCUAAUACCGAAUGCCCUCGAGAGAGGAAAGAUUUAUCGCCAGAAGAGGAGCCCGCGUCCGAUUAGGUAGUUGGUGGGGUAAAGGCCUACCAAGCCGACGAUCGGUAGCUGGUCUGAGAGGAUGAUCAGCCACACUGGGACUGAGAUACGGCCCAGACUCCUACGGGAGGCAGCAGUGGGGAAUUUUACGCAAUGGGGGAAACCCUGACGUAGCGACACCGCGUGAGCGAAGAAGCCCUUUGGGGUGUAAAGCUCUGUCAACAGGAACGAAAAAAAAUAGACGGUACCUGUGGAGGAAGCAUCGGCUAACUACGUGCCAGCA